RNAcentral lists this ribosomal RNA (459 nucleotides) under uncultured bacterium. RNAcentral's name for it is "partial 16S ribosomal RNA". It matches the Rfam family "Bacterial small subunit ribosomal RNA", at positions 338 to 795 of the family's 1533-position model. The record is from RNAcentral.
CCUACGGGAGGCAGCAGUGAGGAAUAUUGGUCAAUGGUCGGGAGACUGAACCAGCCAAGCCGCGUGAGGGAUGAAGGUACAGAGUAUCGUAAACCUCUUUUGUCAGGGAACAAAGGCGGGGACGUGUCCCCGGAUGAGUGUACCUGAAGAAAAAGCAUCGGCUAACUCCGUGCCAGCAGCCGCGGUAAUACGGAGGAUGCGAGCGUUAUCCGGAUUUAGUGGGUUGAAAGGGUGCGCAGGUGGUCUGUUAAGUCAGCGGUCAAAGCCCGGGGCUCAACCCCGGCCCGCCGUUGAAACUGGCAGUCUCGAGUUGGAGAGAAGUAUGCGGAAUGCGCGGUGUAGCGGUGAAAUGCAUAGAUAUCGCGCAGAACUCCGAUUGCGAAGGCAGCAUGCCGGCUCCACACUGACGCUGAGGCACGAAAGCGUGGGUAUCGAACAGGAUUAGAUACCCCAGUAGUC